RNAcentral lists this ribosomal RNA (381 nucleotides) under uncultured eukaryote. Its description in RNAcentral is "partial 18S ribosomal RNA". It matches the Rfam family "Eukaryotic small subunit ribosomal RNA", at positions 592 to 976 of the family's 1831-position model. The record is from RNAcentral.
CAAUAGCGUAUAUUAAAGCUGUUGCGGUUAAAAAGCUCGUAGUUGGAUUUCUGUCAAGGACAACUGGUCCGCCCUCCGGGUGAGCACAUAGUUUGGUCUUGACAUCUUGCUGGAAGCUGUUGCUGCACUUGGCUGUGUGGCGCAGUGUUCAGCACUUUCACUUUGAGGAAAUUGGAGUGUUUCAAGCAGGCACAUGCCUUUGGACACAGUAGCAUGGAAUAAUUAGAUUGGGCUUUUGCUCCAAUUUGUCGGUUUCUGGAGUUGAGGUGAGUAUUAAUGGGGAUUGUUGGGGGCAUCCGAAUUUAGCCGUCAGAGGUGAAAUUCUUGGAUCUGCUAAAGACGGACAACUGCGAAAGCAUUUGCCAAGGAUGUUUUCAUUGA